GUGAGGAAUCUUCCACAAUGGGCGAAAGCCUGAUGGAGCAACGCCGCGUGAAGGAUGAAGGUCUUCGGAUUGUAAACUUCUUUUAUGAGUGAAGAAUAUGACGGUAACUCAUGAAUAAGCACCGGCUAACUACGUGCCAGCAGCCGCGGUCAUACGUAGGGUGCAAGCAUUAUCCGGAGUGACUGGGCGUAGAGUUGCGUAGGCGGUUAUGUAAGCGAAUAGUGAAACCUGGUGGCUCAACCACACAGACUAUUAUUCGAACUGCAUAACUCGAGAAUGGUAGAGGUAACUGGAAUUUCUUGUGUAGGAGUGAAAUCCGUAGAUAUAAGAAGGAACACCAAUGGCGUAGGCAGGUUACUGGGCCAUUUCUGACGCUAAGGCACGAAAGCGUGGGGAGCGAACCGGAUUAGAAACCCUGGUAGUCC
This 425-nucleotide ribosomal RNA is filed under the name uncultured bacterium. Its description in RNAcentral is "partial 16S ribosomal RNA". It matches the Rfam family "Bacterial small subunit ribosomal RNA", at positions 354 to 796 of the family's 1533-position model. The record is from RNAcentral.